AUACUUUUUCCACACAAAAUCUUAACAUUCACAGUGUAGGGUGGAAAAAAUAUGUUUCCCAUUGGGUAAAAUAACUUGUUGACCCUCCUUUUGCAGCAAUAAGCUCAACCAAACACUUCCUGUAGUUGCAGAUCAGACCUGCGUAACGGUCAGGAGGGAAUUUGGACCGUUCCUCUUUAAAAAACUGGUUAAAUUCAGCAAUUUUCCUGGGAUGUCUGGCGUAAAUCAAUUUUUUGAGGUCAUGCCACAGUAUCUCAAUCGGGUUAAGCUCAGGACUCUGACUGGGCCACUCCAGAAGGUGUAUUUUCUUUUGUUUAAGUCAUUUUGUCGUUGAUUUACUUUAAUGCUUUGGGUCUUUUUCUGAGAGCUCGUUUGUGCGAGACAUGGAUCACACAAGGCAACACAAAAUGUAAACAUUCACAGUCACAGUUGAUGGUUUAAAAAGUAUGCAAACCUUUGGUUUUUAAUAACGAGUUGACCCUCCUUUGGCAGCAGUGGGCUCAACCAAACAUUUCCUGUAGUUGCAGAUCAGACCUGCAUAGCAGUCAAGAGGGAUUUUGGAUCAUUCCUUGUUACAAAACUGGUUCAACCCAGCUAUAUAUUUAGUGUGAUGUCUGGUGUGAAUCCCUUUCUUGCAGUCAUGGCACAGUAUCUUAAUCAGGUUGAGGUCAGGACUCUGACAGGGCCACUCCCGAAGGUGUAUUUUCAUCUGUUGAAGACAUUCUGUUGUUGAUUUACUUCUAUGCUUUCGGUCAUUGUCCUUUUCUAAGACCUCUUUUGAGUGAGACAUGGAUCACAUCAGGCAAUGCUUCAUGACAAUAGCAAAGUCAAAACUGCUGUGUGUUUCACAUACUCCACCCUGCACUGUGAAUGCUUAUAUGUUGUGUUCAAUGAAAACAUAACACAAUAUGUGUGUGGCAUUAGUUUAAGCAAUGUUUUUCUAUUGUUGUACCUUCGAUGAAGAUCAGAACACAUUUUCUGUCCAAUUUAAGCCGAAAACCAAGUGAUCCCAAAGGGUUGGCAUACUUUUUCCUGCAACUGUAUGGUGAGCACUGGAGCUGGGUUCUGUACUGUGCGUAAGUCAUGUGAAGAAAUGACUCUAGUUUUAGCUGAUGUAUUUAUUUAUUGGAGGAUCGGGGCUUUGUGGAGCUCUUGGCAAAUACUUGCACUGCAAAUCCACUCCAGCGCUGUACUCUGUGCCUUGGUAAAACCCCCAUGAUAAUGCAUGCAUCGACUUCACAGUUAGCUCUGGUUCAUACUCUACGUCAUUAUGGAGUUCACACACACGAAAAACACCCUCAAAACUCAGUCAAAAUAGUUCAAUAAAAUUUAUGGUAAAAAAAAGUAGUGGAGACAUUGUGUGGUAGUGGAGACAUGUCUAAUUUGAUAGUAAACUCCCUUAUCAUUAAUACACCACUACAGUGCUUCACUACUUUAUACAAUAUGAAUACAACAGUGUUUUGAAGUAUUAACAUCUACAUUAUAUCUUUGUAAUUCACAGAAUUAAAGCCCACCAAAAGCAGGCGGCGAUGAGAACGUCACAUGAUGGCCUGAUCAUGAUUAGGCCUGUUUCUAACUUCAGACUGCACUUUUUGGUUUCAUUAAAGGAUUGUGCCUUUACCAAGAUAAAAAAGCAACAACACAUGCAAAACGCCCAGGCUUCAUUUGCAUUCAGAAUCUCAUUCUAGGAAAAUUUUGUCAGCUGGAAAACUCUCACAAAUCCUAAGACCAAGGAAAUUUUACAGACCAAAAAGAAUACAAAAGCAGGGCCUUUUAAGAUUAUUUUGCUUAAAACACAUUUUCUGCUCAACUUGUCCAAAUGUUUUGAUUUUGAUUUUGUUUGUACUUCUUAUUAUAAUAGCAUUAUAACAAUCCAUUGUGGUCAUCAUUAUUAUUUUUCAAAUAUCUCAGAACUAAUAGCGAAAGAUUAAAUGUUAUCUUUAGGUGUCCUUGUUGCGGUGUUAUCAAUGUAUUGAGUAUUAUUAUUGAGCAAUGUAUCCCCAUUAUGGCUAGGGUUAGCAGACAUCUACUUCUUUACCAAUCCCUAAAUUUACAGCUGUAACCAUAUCACUAAACCUCUUAAUAACAUUAACCAAACCCCUAAAACUAUCACUAAAACUCCCUAUAACCUUAACCAACCCUUAAAACUCACUAAAACUGACCAUAACCAAGCCUUACAACAUCACCAAAACUCCCCAUAACCUUAACCAACCCUUAAAACUCACUAAAACUGACCAUAACCAACCCUUACAACAUCACCAAAACUCCCCAUAACCUUAACCAACCCUUAAAACUCACUAAAACUGACCAUAACCAAGCCUUACAACAUCACCAAAACUCUCCAUAACCUUAACCAACCCUUAAAACUCACUAAAACUGACCAUAACCAACCCUUACAACAUCACCAAAACUCCCCAUAACCUUAACCAACCCUUAAAACUCACUAAAACUGACCAUAACCAAGCCUUACAACAUCACCAAAACUCUCCAUAACCUUAACCAACCCUUAAAGCGAUCUCUAAAACUCUCUCUAAUCUUAAGCAACCCGUAAAACGAUCACCAAAACUCUCCAUAACCUUGACCAACCAUUAAACUAUCACUUAAACCCUCUCUAGCCUAAACCAACCCUUAAAAACUAGCUGUAAAAAUAUCCUUAACUUUAACCAACCUAUAAAACUAACACCAAAUCUCUCUAAUCUUAACCAUCCCUUAAAACUAGCCCUAAAACUCGUUCUAACCUUAACCAAGCCUUAAAACUAACACUAAAACUCUCUUUGACCAUAACCAACCCUUACAACAUCACCAGAUUUCUCCAUAACAUUUACCAACCCGUAAAACGAUCACUAAAACUCUUCAUAACCUUGACCAACCCUUAAAACUGCUCCUAAAACUCUCCACAGCCUUGACCAGCCCUUAAAACUAACACUAAAACUCUCUCUAACCAUAACCAACCCUUACAACAUCACCAAAACUCUCCAUAACCUUAACCAACCUUAAAACUAACACUAAAACUCUCUCUAACCAUAAGCAACCUCUAAAACUAUCUCUUAAACUCUCUAACCUUAUCCAACCCUUACAACUAUCACUAAAACUCCACAUAACCUUAACCAACCCUUAACCAAUCACUAAAACCCUCUCUAGCCUUAACCAACCCUUAAAACUAGCUGUAAACUUCUCCUUAACUUUAACCAACCUUUUAAACUAACUCUAAAUCUCUCUAACCUUAACCAGACCUUAAAACCUGCCCUAAACUUCUCCUUCACUUUAACCAACCCUUAAAUUAUCAUUAAAACUCUCCCUAACUUUAUCCAACCCUUAAUGCUAACACUAAUUCUGUCUAACCAUAACCAACCAUUAAAACUAGCUGUAAACUUAUCCUUAACUUUAACCAACCUUUAUAACUAACAUUAAAUCUCUCAAACGUUAACCAACCCUUAAAACUUGCCCUAAACUUCUCCUUAAAUUUAACCAACCCUUAAAUUAUCAUUAAAAAUUCUCCCUAACUUUAUCCAACCCUUAAUGCUAACACUAAUUCUGUCUAACCAUAACCCACCCCUUAAAACUAGCCUUAAAACUGUUCUAUUCAAGUUGGAAAAAAUAAACAAACCAAAAUAAAGGUCCCGCCCCCUACUCAAUAUUCAAUUUCAGUUAGAAGUAUAUAAGCAUACAAAAGUACAAGUCCCGCCCCCUGCCUAAUAUUCUGCUAUUUGUAACUUUUUGAUUUAGUGGCUUAGUCGAAUUCAAACGAUCUCAUUCGAACAAUUGAGUAGGAUUUGCUCAUCCCCAAUGAGGGUGGGGUUGGGUGCCACGCCUCUUUUUAAAAAUCUUACAUUUUCAUACAAAUUCACCACAAAACGUAAAAUUCUCACAUUUCCUCGUGAGAUCAGGCUGGAUAUUUCAAUAUUGGGUUACAACAUCCCAUCAUUUUAAUAAAAGUAAACAAACAUUCAUUUAAAUCAGAUUUUUUUGGUAUUUUUAAUUGUUUUUUCCCAUGAUUCUUUGUGUCCUGAAGUGGACUUUGCUUUACUUCCUGCACUUUGAUAAUUGUGUUGUGAAACAGCCUCAAACAGACGGAGAGCGAAGUCAGUGUAUCUGCAUGAACAGGUGUUUGCUUCAGAGAUCUGCUGUGCCUGCAUGGAGCCAGGAACACUGUCAUAUUGUGGAACUGCGUUAUUUUCCAAUGUUUACAUUACUCGCACUGAUUUAUUGGUUAUUGGGAUUUUUUAAUCACUGUUUGGUUUUACUCUGAGGCAUUAUGUAAUGAGGCUGUUCUUGUUCUCUUGGUUCAAUAUUUCUUUUGUCUGGCAGAGAUUUCUCAAGACUGCUGAAGCAUGAUUGCUGGAAGUGUCCAGUUCAAAUAAACGUGCUGCUAGUAAUG
Molecule: long non-coding RNA, 4378 nt
Filed under: Danio rerio (zebrafish)
Lineage: Eukaryota; Metazoa; Chordata; Actinopteri; Cypriniformes; Danionidae
Description: lncRNA si:ch211-222f23.7 (ENSDARG00000096896.2)
Source: RNAcentral